CUGCGCCACAAGUGGCAACCGCUUUUAUUGGGCCUAAAGCGUCCGUAGCCUGCUCUGUAAAUUCUUUGUGAAAUCGUCAUGCUUAACGUGACGGUGUGCAGAGAAAACUGCAGAGCUUGGAACCGGGAGGAGUCAGAGGUAUUUUUGGGGGAGCGGUAAAAUGCUAUAAUCCUAAAAAGACCACCUGUGGCGAAGGCGUCUGACCAGAACGGAUCCGACUGUGAGGGACGAAAGCUAGGGGAGCGAACCGGAUUAGAUACCCGAGUAGUCC
Molecule: ribosomal RNA, 271 nt
Filed under: uncultured archaeon
Lineage: Archaea
Description: partial 16S ribosomal RNA
Rfam family: Archaeal small subunit ribosomal RNA
Source: RNAcentral